AUGUUUGUUCAUGGGAUUGAGGACAUUGUGGAUGAGUAUUUGCAUCUUGUUGGUCAGAAACAUGACAGUGGAUGGAGUGCCUAUAUGAAGAAAGGAUUCAAACAACCAAAUGUUUUCUUCUCUUUAAACAGGGUAGCUUCUUUGGUUAAGGAAGCGGAGGUCAAUCUUGUGCACCUGUUUCAGGCUAAAGAUCGAUGGGUGUUAAUGGUAGAUAGUGGGUAUAUGAAUGACUCAAGUUACAUUGUUGAGAGGUCUCAGCAUCUAGCAAGCACUUCACAUUCCCUUGCUGAAGAAGAUCUCGUGGAGGUUGAUGGAAACAGAAAAAAGCUUGAGCAGUGGUUGGCAGGUGAUGAGUUGGAACGCUAUGUGAUAGUGCUGCAUGGUAUGGGAGGGCUUGGUAAAACAACUUUGGCUGCAAAUGUCUACAGGAAGGAAACAGAAAAUUUUGAUUGCCACUGUUGGGUCUCUGUCUCUCAAACUUAUUCCAGAGAAGAUGUUUUAAAAAAUUAA
RNAcentral lists this ribosomal RNA (510 nucleotides) under Triticum aestivum (bread wheat). RNAcentral describes it as "partial small subunit ribosomal RNA". Lineage: Eukaryota; Viridiplantae; Streptophyta; Magnoliopsida; Poales; Poaceae. The record is from RNAcentral.